Molecule: unclassified non-coding RNA, 229 nt
Filed under: fungal sp.
Lineage: Eukaryota; Fungi
Description: partial internal transcribed spacer region
Rfam family: Eukaryotic small subunit ribosomal RNA (bases 1-46)
Source: RNAcentral
AAGUCGUAACAAGGUUUCCGUAGGUGAACCUGCGGAAGGAUCAUUACCAAUUUAAUCCAAAACUCUUCAACCCAUGUGCACUGUGACAUUGUUUGUCUUUGGGGUGGUUGUUUUGCUUGUGCAAGAUAUUACUGCCCCACAUUUGUUCAAACUCUUUCUAUUUUUGUGGCAUCUUAUUGUCUUAAUACAAAUGGACAACUUUUAACGGUGGAUCUCUUGGCUCGUGGAU